GACAAACGCUGGCGGCGUGCUUAACACAUGCAAGUCGAACGGAAAGGCCCUGCUUUUGUGGGGUGCUCGAGUGGCGAACGGGUGAGUAACACGUGAGUAACCUGCCCUUGACUUUGGGAUAACUUCAGGAAACUGGGGCUAAUACCGGAUAGGAGCUCCUGCUGCAUGGUGGGGGUUGGAAAGUUUCGGCGGUUGGGGAUGGACUCGCGGCUUAUCAGCUUGUUGGUGGGGUAGUGGCUUACCAAGGCUUUGACGGGUAGCCGGCCUGAGAGGGUGACCGGCCACAUUGGGACUGAGAUACGGCCCAGACUCCUACGGGGGGCAGCAGUGGGGAAUAUUGCACAAUGGGCGGAAGCCUGAUGCAGCAACGCCGCGUGCGGGAUGACGGCCUUCGGGUUGUAAACCGCUUUCGCCUGUGACGAAGCGUGAGUGACGGUAAUGGGUAAAGAAGCACCGGCUAACUACGUG
RNAcentral lists this ribosomal RNA (468 nucleotides) under uncultured bacterium. Its description in RNAcentral is "partial 16S ribosomal RNA". It matches the Rfam family "Bacterial small subunit ribosomal RNA", at positions 28 to 507 of the family's 1533-position model. The record is from RNAcentral.